ACCCGCUGAACUUAAGCAUAUCAAUAAGCGGAGGAAAAGAAACUAACAAGGAUUCCCCUAGUAACUGCGAGUGAAGCGGGAAAAGCUCAAAUUUAAAAUCUGGUGGUCCUUGUGGCCAUCCGAGUUGUAAUCUAGAGAAGUGUUAUCCGCGCUGGACCGUGUACAAGUCUCCUGGAAUGGAGCGUCAUAGAGGGUGAGAAUCCCGUCUUUGACACGGACUACCAGGGCUUUGUGAUGCGCUCUCAAAGAGUCGAGUUGUUUGGGAAUGCAGCUCAAAAUGGGUGGUAAAUUCCAUCUAAAGCUAAAUAUUGGCGAGAGACCGAUAGCGAACAAGUACCGUGAGGGAAAGAUGAAAAGAACUUUGGAAAGAGAGUUAAACAGUACGUGAAAUUGUUGAAAGGGAAACGCUUGAAGUCAGUCGCAUUGGCUGGAAAUCAACCUUGCUCUUUUGUGGGGUGUACUUUCUAGUUGAUGGGUCAGCAUCAAUUUUGACCGUUGGAAAAAGGUUGAGGGAAUGUGGCAUCUUCGGAUGUGUUAUAGCCCUUGAUUGUAUACAACGGUUGGGAUUGAGGAACUCAGCAUGCCGCAAGGCCGGGUUUUUAACCACGUAACAUGCUUAGGAUGCUGGCAAAAUGGCUUUAAUCGACCCGUCUUGAAACACGG
Molecule: ribosomal RNA, 663 nt
Filed under: uncultured fungus
Lineage: Eukaryota; Fungi
Description: eukaryotic LSU rRNA
Rfam family: Eukaryotic large subunit ribosomal RNA
Source: RNAcentral